CAAUAUUUGCCAGAAAAAGUCCAUUAUUUAUUGGAUAACAUACUUUUAAAUGACUUCUGAUUCUCAUUAGCAGGACAGAAGGAAGUCUCAUUAGGGAGAUCAGAAGGAAGUGGAAUCACAUCUUUAAAGUGCUGGAGGAAAAGAACCGUCAACCCACGAUUCUAUAUCCAGUAAAAUAUCCUUCAGGAGUAAAGGUGAAAUAAAGGCAUUCUCAGAUCAAGGAAAACUAACAGAAUUCCUUGACAGCAGGCCUGUUCUAAAAUAAUUGCUAAAAGAAGUUCUUCAGACAGAAGGGAAAUGAUACCAGCAGUUGACUUGGAAUAUCUGGAAUGAAGGAUGACCAAAAGAAAUGGAUGGCUUUAUAAGCGGUGCGUAUGUCUGCACCCGGGAUCUAAACCAGUGAAACCUGGGCCGCUGAAGUGGAACGUGCGAACUUAACUGCUGCGCCGAGGGGCUGGCCCCUUCCCAUAUGUCUUGAGUACUUUAAACUCUUAGAACCACUGCGUGUGCAGGGGCUUCAAUGGCAGCCUUGCUGCCCGUCCCAGAAUCCCACAAUGGCAGGAAUUCUUGGGGAGAUACCUGGAUCAGUCAGUAGAGGCGGGUGGGGAGCUGAGAUCUUGGGUCCACAAGUGACCAACAAGCUGAGGUCACAAAGGCUACAGAAAUUGCUCUGUAUUAGAAAUGAACUGGAAUCGGGUGAGAAGAGGAGCUGGCAAAAUAGCACAAGGUUGGAGACAAGGGGAAUGAAAACGGGAGUGGAGAAGAAGAAAACCCACCACAGUGGGAUGGCCACUGGCUUCAAAGAACAAGAGCACCCGCACUCAGUUUGAGACUGCUUCUGCCACAGAGAGCCGGGUGGCUGGGCGGCUUUGCUGUGUGAACAGGAUUCAAUGGAAAGGGCUGCCUUCUGUCAGGGUGCAGAACGGGAGCAGCACUCCUGGAACGUCUGGGUGAACCACACAGAGAGCAAGAGCAGGGACCCAGCGGUGGUCGUGAGAACACAAGCCCCUCAGGUCUUAUGGACACAUGGGCAAAACUUUGGACUUCCAUGUGGGCAGAUGGGAGUUUGUGCCCACAAAUCCAGGUCUCAGGAGCCUGGGAGAGGCCAGCGUAUAUCUGAGUUACACAAGAAGGCUCCAGGGCCAUGAGGCUGCAGGUGAGGAGAAAGGAGCCAGUGAUCCCAGGUCCAGGGCCCCCACCACCUGCAGAGAGAAUAGAAUUCAGAAGAGGAGAGGGCUUUCCCAGCAGAAAGUGGAAUUCAGAUCUGCAUCCUGAGGGGAGAGAAGUAGCUGCAGGGGUGGGAGAAGACAGAGAUCAGGUGCCACUACAAGCGCUGUGUGGUGGGAUUCUGCCUCCUCCUCCAGCCCAUCCUACACCACUCACUCCAUAUCACACGCAGACACAGGUUCAAGCCACCAACCCUAGAGCAAUAGCCUCCUAUCUCGUUUCCCUGAUUAAACAUUAACACUCUUGUCUGUUUCUACACAGAUGCAAGAGAUCUUUUAAGAACAUAAGUCUGAUAACAUCCCUCCUCUGCUUUAAACCUUCAGUGACAUUCCAUUGCUAGAAGAAACGCGAAGUCUUCUCUAUGGCCUGCAUGGGCCCU
This is a long non-coding RNA of Equus asinus (donkey), 1606 nucleotides long. Lineage: Eukaryota; Metazoa; Chordata; Mammalia; Perissodactyla; Equidae. The record is from Ensembl.